This 293-nucleotide long non-coding RNA is filed under the name Musa acuminata (dwarf banana). RNAcentral's name for it is "long non-coding RNA (MACU_LNC011805)". The record is from RNAcentral. Lineage: Eukaryota; Viridiplantae; Streptophyta; Magnoliopsida; Zingiberales; Musaceae.
CUAUACAAUUGGAGGAAAACGAUGGGUCUGUAAGAAGCUCAGUAUAACCUCCAACGAUAACGAGGGCAGACUUCUGUCUCAAAUUAACCGGUGGGGAAAUCCUUUCUUUUAUUUUGCCCCAAAUAAAUAUUUCUUGUCUGCUACACGUCGCACUAAAUGACUCACCCUCGCACCCCAUCUCUCUCAUGGGCUCCACGUCUCAUCUCCAGUUACAUUCAGCCAAGCGGGACUUUGGGUGCGUGAAUUAUUUUGACUCUGCCUGUUGACAAGACUGAAUCACCCCUGAAACCUUG